This 492-nucleotide ribosomal RNA is filed under the name uncultured bacterium. RNAcentral describes it as "partial 16S ribosomal RNA". It matches the Rfam family "Bacterial small subunit ribosomal RNA", at positions 29 to 507 of the family's 1533-position model. The record is from RNAcentral.
AGUGAACGCUGGCGGUAGGCCUAACACAUGCAAGUCGAACGGCAGCACAGUAAGAGCUUGCUCUUACGGGUGGCGAGUGGCGGACGGGUGGGGAAUACAUCGGAAUCUACUUUUUCGUGGGGGAUAACGUAGGGAAACUUACGCUCAUACCGCAUACGACCUACGGGUGAAAGCAGGGGAUCUUCGGACCUUGCGCGAUUGAAUGAGCCGAUGUCGGAUUAGCUAGUUGGCGGGGUAAAGGCCCACCAAGGCGACGAUCCGUAGCUGGUCUGAGAGGAUGAUGGGCCACACUGGAACUGAGACACGGUCCAGACGCCUACGGGAGGCAGCAGUGGGGAAUAUUGGACAAUGGGCGCAAGCCUGAUCCAGCCAUACCGCGUGAGUGAAGAAGGCCUUCGGUUUGUAAAGCCCUUUUGUUGGGAAAGAAAAGCAGCAGGUUAAUACCCCGCUGUUCUGACGGUACCCAAAGAAUAAGCACCGGCUAACUUCGUG